GACGAACGCUGGCGGCGUGCCUAAUACAUGCAAGUAGAACGCUGAAGAGAGGAGCUUACUCUUCUUGGAUGAGUUGCGCACGGGUGAGUCACGCGUAGGUAACCUGCCUUGUAGCGGGGGAUAACUAUUGGAAACGAUAGCUAAUACCGCAUAACAAUGGAUGACACAUUUCAUUUAUUUGAAAGGGGCAAUUGCUCCACUACAAGAUGGACCUGCGUUGUAUUAGCUAGUAGGUGAGGUAAUGGCUCACCUAGGCGGGGAUACAGAGCCGACCUGAGAGGGUGAUCGGCCACACUGGGACGGAGACACGGCCCAGACGGCCACGGGAGGCAGCAGUAGGGAAUCGUCGGCAAGGGGGGGAACCCUGACCGAGCAACGCCGCGUGAGUAAAGAGGGUCGUCGGAUCGGAGAGCUCGGUUGUAGGUCAAGAACGGGUGUGCGAGUGGAAAGUUCACUCUGUGACGGUAGCUGAUAAGAAAGGGACGGCUAACCACGUG
This 497-nucleotide ribosomal RNA is filed under the name uncultured bacterium. Its description in RNAcentral is "partial 16S ribosomal RNA". It matches the Rfam family "Bacterial small subunit ribosomal RNA", at positions 28 to 507 of the family's 1533-position model. The record is from RNAcentral.